AAUGAACGCUGGCGGCGUGCUUAAUACAUGCAAGUCGAACGAGAAAGUGCCCUUCGGGGUACGAGUAAAGUGGCGCACGGGUGAGUAACGCGUAAGUUAUCUGCCCUUUAGUUUGGAAUAACUUCGGGAAACCGGAGCUAAUACCAGAUAAGCCCCCGGUACCGUAAGGUACUGAGGGAAAAGGUAGCCUCUUCACGAAAGCUUCUGCUAAAGGAUGAGCUUGCGUACCAUUAGCUAGUUGGUGGGGUAAAGGCCUACCAAGGCAAUGAUGGUUAGCUGGUCUGAGAGGACGACCAGCCACACUGGAACUGAGAUACGGGCCAGACUCCUACGGGAGGCAGCAGUAGGGAAUUUUGCGCAAUGGGGGCAACCCUGACGCAGCGACGCCGCGUGAGUGAAGAAGGCCUUCGGGUUGUAAAGCUCUGUCAGAGGGGACGAAUAAGUGGGGUCUAAUAGGCUCCAUGAUGACGGUACCUUCAGAGGAAGCACCGGCUAACUCUGUGCCAGCCGCCGCGGUAA
Molecule: ribosomal RNA, 519 nt
Filed under: uncultured bacterium
Lineage: Bacteria
Description: partial 16S ribosomal RNA
Rfam family: Bacterial small subunit ribosomal RNA
Source: RNAcentral